AGUGAAGUGCCUGAAAAAUAGGGCUAUCUUGAUAGGGUAGAAAAUGUAAAUAUUUACCUUCACUA
Molecule: transfer RNA, 65 nt
Filed under: Paederus fuscipes
Lineage: Eukaryota; Metazoa; Arthropoda; Insecta; Coleoptera; Staphylinidae
Description: tRNA-Ile
Source: RNAcentral